This 303-nucleotide long non-coding RNA is filed under the name Sorghum bicolor (sorghum). RNAcentral describes it as "long non-coding RNA (SBIC_LNC015226)". Lineage: Eukaryota; Viridiplantae; Streptophyta; Magnoliopsida; Poales; Poaceae. The record is from RNAcentral.
CCGAGCUAUAUAAUUUAUUUUUUGAUUAGUCUACGUUUAAUACUUAAUUGUGUGCUGGCAUAUACGAUGUGACAUCUAAAAAUUUUCUUUUCACGAACUAAACAAGGCUUAAUUACUGUGUAAGGUCAAAUCCUACAAAUAAUUUCAUUGAAGAGCAUAUAUAUAUUAGCAAUAGAUGAUAUAAUAUAAUAAUAAUAAACAAUAAUAUACGAUUGCUUGCUUUGACAGAUGACGCGUGAGUGCUGUAGUGGAUGCAUCAGCAAGCAUAUAUGAGUGUGUAGUUGGGAUCUAAAGGCAAAGGAC